This 497-nucleotide ribosomal RNA is filed under the name uncultured bacterium. RNAcentral describes it as "partial 16S ribosomal RNA". It matches the Rfam family "Bacterial small subunit ribosomal RNA", at positions 28 to 507 of the family's 1533-position model. The record is from RNAcentral.
GAUGAACGCUGGCGGCGUGCCUAAUACAUGCAAGUCGAGCGAACAGACGAGGAGCUUGCUCCUCUGACGUUAGCGGCGGACGGGUGAGUAACACGUGGAUAACCUACCUAUAAGACUGGGUUAACUUCGGGAAACCGGAGCUAAUACCGGAUAAUAUAUUGAACCGCAUGGUUUAAUAGUGAAAGACGGUUUUGCUGUCACUUAUAGAUGGAUCCGCGCCGCAUUAGCUAGUUGGUAAGGUAACGGCUUACUAAGGCGACGAUGCGUAGCCGACCUGGGAGGGUGAUCGGCCACACUGGAACUGAGACACGGUCCAGACUCCUACGGGAGGCAGCAGUAGGGAAUCUUCCGCAAUGGGCGAAAGCCUGACGGAGCAACGCCGCGUGAGUGAUGAAGGUCUUCGGAUCGUAAAACUCUGUUAUUAGGGAAGAACAAAUGUGUAAGUAACUAUGCACGUCUUGACGGUACCUAAUCAGAAAGCCACGGCUAACUACGUG